This 158-nucleotide ribosomal RNA is filed under the name Haladaptatus sp. W1. Its description in RNAcentral is "partial 16S ribosomal RNA". It matches the Rfam family "Archaeal small subunit ribosomal RNA", at positions 376 to 533 of the family's 1478-position model. Lineage: Archaea; Methanobacteriati; Methanobacteriota; Halobacteria; Halobacteriales; Haladaptataceae. The record is from RNAcentral.
GAGACCGAAGUGCGAGGGCAUAACGUCCUCGCUUUUGUGUAUCGUAAGGUGGUACACGAAUAAGAGCUGGGCAAGACCGGUGCCAGCCGCCGCGGUAAUACCGGCAGCUCAAGUGAUGGCCAAUUUUAUUGGGCCUAAAGCGUCCGUAGCCGGCCAGA